GACGUAGGGCGCGAGCGUUGUCCGGAUUUAUUGGGCGUAAAGAGCUCGUAGGCGGCUUGUCGCGUCGACUGUGAAAACCCGCGGCUCAACUGCGGGCUUGCAGCCGAUACGGGCAGGCUAGAGUUCGGUAGGGGAGACUGGAAUUCCUGGUGUGCGGUGAAAUGCGCAGAUAUCAGGAGGAACACCGGUGGCGAAGGCGGGUCUCUGGGCCG
RNAcentral lists this ribosomal RNA (212 nucleotides) under uncultured bacterium. RNAcentral's name for it is "partial 16S ribosomal RNA". It matches the Rfam family "Bacterial small subunit ribosomal RNA", at positions 524 to 736 of the family's 1533-position model. The record is from RNAcentral.